Molecule: ribosomal RNA, 445 nt
Filed under: uncultured Ruminococcus sp.
Lineage: Bacteria; Bacillati; Bacillota; Clostridia; Eubacteriales; Oscillospiraceae
Description: bacterial SSU rRNA
Rfam family: Bacterial small subunit ribosomal RNA
Source: RNAcentral
GCCUACGGGGGGCAGCAGUGGGGGAUAUUGCGCAAUGGGGGCAACCCUGACGCAGCAACGCCGCGUGAAGGAUGAAGGUUUUCGGAUUGUAAACUUCUUUUAUUAAGGACGUAAAUUGACGGUACUUAAUGAAUAAGCUCCGGCUAACUACGUGCCAGCAGCCGCGGUAAUACGUAGGGAGCAAGCGUUGUCCGGAUUUACUGGGUGUAAAGGGUGCGUAGGCGGCUUUGCAAGUCAGAUGUGAAAUCUAUGGGCUCAACCCAUAAACUGCAUUUGAAACUGUAGAGCUUGAGUGAAGUAGAGGCAGGCGGAAUUCCCCGUGUAGCGGUGAAAUGCGUAGAGAUGGGGAGGAACACCAGUGGCGAAGGCGGCCUGCUGGGCUUUAACUGACGCUGAGGCACGAAAGCGUGGGUAGCAAACAGGAUUAGAUACCCUAGUAGUCUGG